AUUGAACGCUGGCGGCAGGCCUAACACAUGCAAGUCGAGCGGACGAAGGGAGCUUGCUCCUGGAUUCAGCGGCGGACGGGUGAGUAAUGCCUAGGAAUCUGCCUUGCAGUGGGGGAUAACGUCCGGAAACGGGCGCUAAUACCGCAUACGUCCUGAGGUAGAAAGUGGGGGAUCAUCGGACCUCACGCUAUCAGAUGAGCCUAGGUCGGAUUAGCUAGUUGGUGUGGUAACGGCCUACCAAGGCGACGAUCCGUAACUGGUCUGAGAGGAUGAUCAGUCACACUGGAACUGAGACACGGUCCAGACUCCUACGGGAGGCAGCAGUGGGGAAUAUUGGACAAUGGGCGAAAGCCUGAUGCAGCCAUGCCGCGUGUGUGAAGAAGGUCUUCGGAUUGUAAAGCACUUUAAGUUGGGAGGAAGGGCAGUAAGUUAAUACCUUGCUGUUUUGACGUUACCAACAGAAUAAGCACCGGCUAACUUCGUG
This 484-nucleotide ribosomal RNA is filed under the name uncultured bacterium. RNAcentral describes it as "partial 16S ribosomal RNA". It matches the Rfam family "Bacterial small subunit ribosomal RNA", at positions 30 to 507 of the family's 1533-position model. The record is from RNAcentral.